This is a long non-coding RNA of Betta splendens (Siamese fighting fish), 740 nucleotides long. RefSeq lists it as uncharacterized. The transcript is spliced from 5 exons. Lineage: Eukaryota; Metazoa; Chordata; Actinopteri; Anabantiformes; Osphronemidae. The record is from RefSeq and is a predicted model, not a curated record.
AGCUGCACCACGAGGGUGGGAAGACUGUAGCACGAGGACAGAAAGAGGGCUGGAGCCCGGAGGAAGCAGAGAAAAAAAACGAGGCGGCUGCUGCCUGUUUAUCAGAUGUGGAGAGAAAACCUGGUGACGUCGGGCUCCAGCGAUCGGAGCACGCCGAGCCCAGAUAGCGCCGCACGGGGCCAAUUACGGUUGCCAUGGAACAAAACAGAGAAACUAAUGGAAGCCGGAAUGAAUGCGAGUCUUAAUCCAGGCCGCGACUGCAGACAGACGGCUCUUUCGGGUUCUAUUUGCUCUGCGACGCCUGUGUUUCUCCUCAUUUUAAUGCCUGACCUUUGACAGCGUCCCUCCUCCUGCCCUAUACACAGAGUGUUAAUCCAGCGCUGUGUCUGGCUGAAACGACCCUUCAUCAUUAUCAACGGGCUAAAACAGAACGCAGCCGCGCUCGACGACACAAACGUGCUCCGUGUGUACGAAUUUGACAUUUGUGCUAAAACUGCUGCAUGUGCACAGCUCGAGUGAGGAAUGGGCCUUUCACCUUCACCAUUUGCCGGCAGAGAGAAGGAGCUGCGGCUGCAUCGCAGGGUAACACACCGCCGCUGAUAUAUCACAUGGCAACAAGUGGAGAGAAGCUUCUGGAAGUGCUGAUCCAGAGCUUUCAGAUGACACCUCUAAAUUGAGAGACUUGAAACACCUGACUAUCAAAAUUGUGCCGAAUAAAACCUUUUUUUACAGUCUCCUGA